AUCCCGGGGCCGAGGGAGCC
Molecule: microRNA, 20 nt
Filed under: Cervus elaphus (red deer)
Lineage: Eukaryota; Metazoa; Chordata; Mammalia; Artiodactyla; Cervidae
Description: PC-5p-33673
Source: RNAcentral